GACUUCUCCGGUGGCCUAAUGGUUAGUGCGUUCUCCGAUGAAGAGGGAGAUGGUGGGUUCGAACCCCAGCCGAGUCA
Molecule: non-coding RNA, 77 nt
Organism: Potamilus streckersoni
Lineage: Eukaryota; Metazoa; Mollusca; Bivalvia; Unionida; Unionidae
Source: the annotation of a GenBank genome assembly